GAACUUGUAAGUUAAAUAAAACUAUUAAAUUUUUACUUUAAUUUUGAUUAAAUAAAUCCGAGUUUA
Molecule: transfer RNA, 66 nt
Filed under: Aeolothrips xinjiangensis
Lineage: Eukaryota; Metazoa; Arthropoda; Insecta; Thysanoptera; Aeolothripidae
Description: tRNA-Lys
Source: RNAcentral